CUAAUUCAUGAUCUGACAUGUACAGAAAGAAAACUUGUUCUUUUCAUGGUCUCAAAAUUCUGUCCUGGUAGCUCAACAUGGGCAACAAGGCUUCUUAGGAUGAUCUUUCAUCCUAUCAUGACUCUCUAGUCUCUACUCUCUUGCCUGCUCAUGUGGUGACAUGGAAAAACUUAACGAGAGGGAAAAGGAGGAGAAAGUUAUGCAAUUCCUUGUGGAAUUGAAUGAUAGCUUAUCUGCCACCCGUGGACAGAUCUUAUUGAUGCAGUCCCUACCCCAAACUCGUUGAGUUUAUUCUCUCGUCUUUCAACAAGAAAAACAGGUAGAAGUCUUCCCUUUCGAUGAUGGACCAAGAUUCACAGCUGAGAAAUUCAAUGAAUUGAUGGCCAUGCUUCGACAAAAUAAUGAGUAUUAUCACACCAUCGUCUACCGUUAUUCAUUUCACUUAUUAUGCUGGAUUUUUUUAUAGUAAAACCACAGAUCAUGUAGCAUUUUCAACUGAGUUAUCAAAUAAAUAGUGUUCACUCAAAUCAGCAACUAUUCAGUUGCCAAAUUGUGGUCAGACACAAAUUGAAUCAGUUGGUUCUUUACAUGUCACACCACAUAUCAAACUUGAUGAAGUGCUUUAAGUUCUUGAAUUCCAAGUCAGUUUAUUAUCUGUUAGCAAGUUGACAUGAGCAUUGAAGUGUAUAGUGAUAUUCUUCCCUGAUUUUUGUGUUGUGCAGGAUGCUGCUACGAGAAGAUGAUUGGCCUGGGCAAACAACAUAAAGGUUUCUACUACCUUACAAAAGAUCAAAACAUGAUCUUCUUGGCCUACAACAUCUGCAAACACUAUUUAACCAUCCUUUGUUGUCCCUUCUCAUUGUGGACUAGGUAGACACAAACAACCCAGUGUAACUCUUCGCGACCACCAUCUUUCUAACUUGAACAUGAUUUCUCUUGAUUCAUCAUCUUCUUCAGGUAUAUCUGUUGGUUAAAAUUUUAAAAGUUUGUAUGAAACAGAUUUUCCAUGAAUGAUUUGCAGAAACAGUAAAGCAGAAAAGAAUUUGCAGAAACAGUAAAGCAGUAAAUAAUUUGCAGAAACAGUAAAGCAGAAAAUUAUGUUCGAAAAAUUAUGAAAAGAAAGAAGUCCAGAAUUCGGAAAGGGGAUGAUCGAGGCGAGAACUAUGCUCUCUGUCCUUAAGACGUUUUUACCCCGUCACACGGUGCUUACGGUAUGUGGUAAAGCGUCUCCCAAGAUACAACGAUCACACUUGCAGAAGCAGCACUUCGACUGCAAGACAACGAACCAGAAAGAAUGAAAAUACUCUCUGCAGACUGAUGCAAGGAAGAAGAGAUGUAUAAUGUAUGUAUGCAGGAAAUCGUGUGUAUCCUUUGUGUUGUAUGAGGACUAUUCAAAUAGAGGAAGAAAGUUGACGGUUUUGGGCAGUUUCCCUCACGCCACUUAAUGCACAGUUUCUUCGAACUGAUGGGUCGGUUUGUAAACUGUCAAAGGGAGGGAAAAAAUUAAAUUCAAUUUUUUUUUUUUUUUUUUAAACCGAAAAUAAAAAAAAAAANCCACUUCAUCCAUCUUAUUACAAGUCUCCAAACUAACACAAAUUACAGUACAAAAGGAAUACUCCAAAACCACUAUAAAACUGACCAACAGGCAUCAAGAUCUCAUUAAUCGUAGGCUCAGAUCACUGUACCCGUCUGUAUCAACACAGAGACACCGAACAGACCCAAACCCUCACAACUAAAGAUACGAAACGAAGUUACUGUAAUGGACCAAGAAAAAAUUCAAUCCCAUACCCAUCGUCCUACUCAUACAAAUAAAUCAUCAAAACUCAUUUCUCACUCAAAGAUUUAAACUUCAUUCACACGAAUGAGGAAGAUGGAAAAAUGGAGAGAAGACAAAACGAGUUGAAGGUUCUAGACCCUCUCGGCUGACCUAGGGCUACAAGAAAAGGCCCUAUUUAUAGUGAACACAGCAACCAUUAAUCUGGGAAUGAAUCUAACAGUCCAGAGCGAAUAGCAAUUGCUCUAUUCAAG
This 2028-nucleotide long non-coding RNA is filed under the name Olea europaea subsp. europaea. The record is from RNAcentral. Lineage: Eukaryota; Viridiplantae; Streptophyta; Magnoliopsida; Lamiales; Oleaceae.